This 363-nucleotide ribosomal RNA is filed under the name uncultured bacterium. RNAcentral describes it as "bacterial SSU rRNA". It matches the Rfam family "Bacterial small subunit ribosomal RNA", at positions 362 to 744 of the family's 1533-position model. The record is from RNAcentral.
UAUUGGACAAUGGGCGCAAGGCCGAUCCAGCCAUGCCGCGUGGGUGAUGAAGGCCUUAGGGUUGUAAAGCCCUUUCGGCGGGGAAGAUAAUGACGGUACCCGCAGAAGAAGCCCCGGCUAACUUCGUGCCAGCAGCCGCGGUAAUACGAAGGGGGCUAGCGUUGCUCGGAAUCACUGGGCGUAAAGCGCACGUAGGCGGCUUUUAAGUCAGGGGUGAAAUCCUGGAGCUCAACUCCAGAACUGCCUUUGAUACUGGGAAGCUUAGUUCGGAGAGAUGAGUGAACUGCGAGUGAGAGGUAAAUUCGAGUUUCGCAAGACACCAGUGGCAAGCGGCUACUGCCCGUCUGCGUGCGUCAAAUCGAU